AGAGAAUAGAUACCCCGGUAGUCCACGCCGUAAACGAUGAAUACUAGGUGUAGGGGUUGUCAUGACCUCUGUGCCGCCGCUAAACGCAUUAAGUAUUCCGCCUGGGGAGUACGGUCGCAAGAUUAAAACUCAAAGGAAUUGACGGGGGCCCGCACAAGCAGCGGAGCAUGUGGUUUAAUUCGAAGCAACGCGAAGAACCUUACCUAGACUUGACAUCUCCUGAAUUACUCUGUAAUGGAGGAAGCCACUUCGGUGGCAGGAAGACAGGUGGUGCAUGGUUGUCGUCAGCUCGUGUCAUGAGAUGUUGGGUUAAGUCCCGCAACGAGCGCAACCCUUAUUGUUAGUUGCUACCAUUUAGUUGAGCACUCUAGCGAGACUGCCCGGGUUAACCGGGAGGAAGGUGGGGAUGACGUCAAAUCAUCAUGCCCCUUAUGUCUAGGGCUACACACGUGCUACAAUGGUCGGUACAAUGAGAUGCAACCUCGCGAGAGUGAGCAAAA
Molecule: ribosomal RNA, 500 nt
Filed under: uncultured bacterium
Lineage: Bacteria
Description: bacterial SSU rRNA
Rfam family: Bacterial small subunit ribosomal RNA
Source: RNAcentral